RNAcentral lists this ribosomal RNA (650 nucleotides) under uncultured Pseudomonas sp. RNAcentral describes it as "bacterial SSU rRNA". It matches the Rfam family "Bacterial small subunit ribosomal RNA", at positions 28 to 672 of the family's 1533-position model. Lineage: Bacteria; Pseudomonadati; Pseudomonadota; Gammaproteobacteria; Pseudomonadales; Pseudomonadaceae. The record is from RNAcentral.
AUUGAACGCUGGCGGCAGGCCUAACACAUGCAAGUCGAGCGGUAGAGAGAAGCUUGCUUCUCUUGAGAGCGGCGGACGGGUGAGUAAUGCCUAGGAAUCUGCCUGGUAGUGGGGGAUAACGUUCGGAAACGGACGCUAAUACCGCAUACGUCCUACGGGAGAAAGCAGGGGACCUUCGGGCCUUGCGCUAUCAGAUGAGCCUAGGUCGGAUUAGCUAGUUGGUGAGGUAAUGGCUCACCAAGGCGACGAUCCGUAACUGGUCUGAGAGGAUGAUCAGUCACACUGGAACUGAGACACGGUCCAGACUCCUACGGGAGGCAGCAGUGGGGAAUAUUGGACAAUGGGCGAAAGCCUGAUCCAGCCAUGCCGCGUGUGUGAAGAAGGUCUUCGGAUUGUAAAGCACUUUAAGUUGGGAGGAAGGGUUGUAGAUUAAUACUCUGCAAUUUUGACGUUACCGACAGAAUAAGCACCGGCUAACUCUGUGCCAGCAGCCGCGGUAAUACAGAGGGUGCAAGCGUUAAUCGGAAUUACUGGGCGUAAAGCGCGCGUAGGUGGUUUGUUAAGUUGGAUGUGAAAUCCCCGGGCUCAACCUGGGAACUGCAUUCAAAACUGACUGACUAGAGUAUGGGUAGAGGGUGGUGGAAUUUCCC